AGCCUCGUAGCUCAGCUGGUAGAGCGUGCGCGUACAAAGCAUAGGAGGCGUCCAUGUGUGGGUUCGAAUCCCACUGAGACUA
Molecule: transfer RNA, 82 nt
Filed under: Echinostoma caproni
Lineage: Eukaryota; Metazoa; Platyhelminthes; Trematoda; Plagiorchiida; Echinostomatidae
Rfam family: tRNA
About the family: Transfer RNA (tRNA) molecules are approximately 80 nucleotides in length. Their secondary structure includes four short double-helical elements and three loops (D, anti-codon, and T loops).
Source: Rfam by way of RNAcentral